GCACCUCACACUGUGCACAUUACCAGACCUCCACUUCUUCCAAGAUGAUUGUCUUCCUACUAACAGACGGCCAGUAACAGACCAUGUGGACAGUUUCCAUGAGGAGGGAGCUCUCCUCACAGCACCAGCCUGCCCUGUUAAGAAUGAUUAUUUCAGAGAGCAUCCCCCGUGUAAGAGCUGGGCACCUGAGGUAUCCACCGUGCACAACCUGGUUCACUACCAGAGUAGUUCAGCAAAGAACAUUAGAAGUCAAGCCCUUUAUCAUUCUGGAGAACAAAAGGAUAACUGUCUUCCUGAUAAAGCCAGUUUUCUUGUCUGUCUCUCAUUGGCUGACAAUGGGAUAAUACCAGCAAAAGAAAACAAGAUCAAACUAGUAGUGCUGGAUCUGAGAAGAUAAAAGAAGAAACAAAUUUCAGAGAGAAAGGAAUGUUGGGUAGAUGAGAGAAAUAAGAAACACAUUUCUACAGCAAAGGAUAUUUUACACUGAGGCUAGACAAGGGCAAAAGAUCCUAGGAGAAAACAGGGCCUCUCUGUUCCAGGGAAGAAGACAUCUGCUGGCAGAGGGCUACUGGGCCCUGAAAGAUUCAGCCUCAACACAGAGAACACUUGAGCAGUGAAAAACAAAACAUAAGAACACAGAAAUGAAUAAAUGUUUUAUUGUUA
Long non-coding RNA from Neopelma chrysocephalum (saffron-crested tyrant-manakin), 663 nucleotides. RefSeq lists it as uncharacterized. The transcript is spliced from 2 exons. The record is from RefSeq and is a predicted model, not a curated record. Lineage: Eukaryota; Metazoa; Chordata; Aves; Passeriformes; Pipridae.